Molecule: ribosomal RNA, 254 nt
Filed under: uncultured bacterium
Lineage: Bacteria
Description: partial 16S ribosomal RNA
Rfam family: Bacterial small subunit ribosomal RNA
Source: RNAcentral
UACGUAGGGUGCGAGCGUUGUCCGGAAUUACUGGGCGUAAAGAGCUUGUAGGUGGUUUGUCGCGUUGUUCGUGAAAUCUCACGGCUCAACUGUGAGCGUGCGGGGCGAUACGGCAGACUAGAGGUACUGCAGGGAGACUGGAAUUCCUGGUGUAGCGGUGGAAUGCGCAGAUAUCAGGAGGAACACCGGUGGCGAAGGCGGGUCUCUGGGCAGGUAAACUGACGCUGAGAAGCGAAAGCGUGGGAGCGAACAGG